UAAGAGAACUACCACAUCUUUUAUUCUAAAACACAAUAGAAACAGUGGUAAGUACUGUUUGGUCUUCUUUACAUUUUUCAAGAUUCAUUAAUGUGAUACUCAUUUUUGGUACAAGUAGCUGGACACUGACACUCUGUGGAAACCAUCCACAUCCUUGCUACCCAAAGUAUGUUCGAAGACCAGCAGCAUCUAUAUUAGCUUGAAGCUUGUUAGAGAUGCAAAAUCAGGCCCCACCUCAAAUGCACUGAAUCAGAAUCUGUAUUUUAAUAUGAUCCCCAGGUGAUUCGUGUACACACUAAAGGCCAAGAAGCAUGCAAUUAGAUUUCAUUCCUAUUUCUUACUCUCACCCUGUCUCCUUUACUCUCCAUCCACCCAACACAGGGGUAGGUGUUUUUCACCAAAAACUCCAGAUAGUCAAGAAAAAUAUAGUUGGUGUUACCUGAGUUAUAUGAUUAGCGUCACUUUCAGUAAAUGUGGAAAUCUAUUUUUUUAUCAAUUAUUUUCUUGGGUUAUUAAUAGAUUAAUUCCAUAAUUCAGAAAAAAUUAGAACAAAUUUUCCAGGAAAAAGGGCUUGUUUAGUUUCAGGAGAGAUUAGAGUAUUUUAUUUUGCCCAAUCAGAGCCCUUCAGCAUAAAGAGACAUUCAUAUACAUAUAUAUGAACAUUUUCCAGAAACAUUAAUUUAUAAUACAUUUUUUAAAAUACCAGCUUAACGGUAUUUAUUUACAAAAAUAUUUCAUUACCUAAUUUUAAACUUUUUGCUGUGAUGACAGUUUGUAAAGUACAGGAAUGCAAAAUAACUACAAAGUGUAACACGUUUUUAGUGUUUGCAAUACUGCUUUUCUUUUUAGAUGAAACAAUACACAGAUUUUUUUAAACCGUAUUUCAAAAUGCAUAUUCCAGCAAUUACCUUUGAGAUAGUUACUGGGACUGAGCAAGAUUAAAUAAAAAGUGCAGCAACUGAAAAACACCUGCAAGUUACAGUUUAAGGAAUACACAAGCUAGAGCUCUAUACCAAGCAUGCUUGCCCCUGAAGUGGACAAUGUUAGAAAACCUUAAUCUUGCUCUUUUUCAUAUUGUCUUUUGGUAAUGCAUUUACAAUGAACCAAUAGUAUAACUAGAAAGCAAAAGUGUUUUUCUGGUUCUAACUAUCAUGUGGAACAGAGGUCACACCUAACGUAUCACGGUACUAUUUAUUUACAAAAAAAAAAAAAAGUUAAAAAAAUUAAAACAUGAUUUACCCUCUUUGCAUUGCUUUCCAUUGCUAUGUUGACUCUAUUUUCAACUCCUUACAAUGUCUUCAGUUGAAGCAAAGUUUAGACAACACAAAACAAAUUGCAAAAGUUAAAAAAAAACCUACCAAAUAAACAGGAUUCCAUUGCCAUUAACCUAUAUCCAUUUGAAAUGCCUGAGUCAAACAACCUACAAUAAAUACUGGUUUAUUUACAUGACAUACACUAUAAAAUUUUAAACGAUAAGUCUCAUUGUAAAAUACUGGCAAAACUGACAUUCAUGAUUUUCCUGAUGUAAAGAAUAAAAUAAAGAGACCACUUACAUGUAGCCCUGGACUACUGUACUGAAUUUGUAAAUGAAUUGUGCCUAUAUUGUUAAAAUUAAUUUGUAUUAGUAACUGAAGAAAGCAAUGUUAUAACCCUGGUAAUUGGGAAGUUAUUAAAAUCAUUUAAUUCAUCUGAGAAAGGUAAGCCAGUUUCCCCUUUUUUCUUUUUUUUUUUUUUGGUUAUUUUUGAUUGCAACAACUGUUUUCUGUCUACAGAACCUUUUUUAAAACUUCGGAGGCAGUAGUAAAAUCAUUAAUAUUCACAAGAAAAAUAAUCCCCAUAGCACUUUACAAGAAAUUGAUCAGAGUGAUGAAAAGUGCAAUUAACAAAAGCUGUAAACAGUAUCUUCAC
Macaca fascicularis (crab-eating macaque) is the source of this 1908-nucleotide long non-coding RNA. NCBI's taxonomy places the organism in Eukaryota, Metazoa, Chordata, Mammalia, Primates, Cercopithecidae. The record is from Ensembl.